CCUACGGGUGGCAGCAGUGGGGAAUAUUGCACAAUGGGGGAAACCCUGAUGCAGCGACGCCGCGUGAGUGAAGAAGUAUUUCGGUACGUAAAGCUCUAUCAGCAGGGAAGAAAAUGACGGUACCUGACUAAGAAGCCCCGGCUAACUACGUUCCAGCAGCCGCGGUAAUACGUAGGGGGCAAGCGUUAUCCGGAUUUACUGGGUGUAAAGGGAGCGUAGACGGCAGCGCAAGUCUGGAGUGAAAUCCCAUGGCUUAACCAUGGAACUGCUUUGGAAACUGUGCAGCUAGAGUGCAGGAGAGGUAAGCGGAAUUCCUAGUGUAGCGGUGAAAUGCGUAGAUAUUAGGAGGAACACCAGUGGCGAAGGCGGCUUACUGGACUGUAACUGAUGUUGAGGCUCGAAAGCGUGGGGAGCAAACAGGAUUAGAUACCCGAGUAGUC
Molecule: ribosomal RNA, 440 nt
Filed under: uncultured bacterium
Lineage: Bacteria
Description: partial 16S ribosomal RNA
Rfam family: Bacterial small subunit ribosomal RNA
Source: RNAcentral